CUUUAAGUUAAAAAAUCUCUGAACUUUUCAGAAAGGCGCUGGUGACGUCACUGCAGCUUCUUUAGCAGGGCUACUGUCUAAAGGCCUCUGAACAAGCCUUAAGAGACGUUUGACCACGAAGAGUGAAGAAAAUGUGGCGGCAGGACACAGCUGGGACAAGACAGAGGAACGAGGCUCAACAGAAUCAUCUCAUAACUCAGUCGGAGCGAGAAGCCUUUCACUUCUGCACCUGCAGACCUGACAGAACAAUGGAAGCC
Long non-coding RNA from Epinephelus fuscoguttatus (brown-marbled grouper), 257 nucleotides. RefSeq lists it as uncharacterized. The transcript has 3 exons. The record is from RefSeq and is a predicted model, not a curated record. NCBI's taxonomy places the organism in Eukaryota, Metazoa, Chordata, Actinopteri, Perciformes, Serranidae.